This 893-nucleotide ribosomal RNA is filed under the name uncultured Paenibacillaceae bacterium. RNAcentral describes it as "bacterial SSU rRNA". It matches the Rfam family "Bacterial small subunit ribosomal RNA", at positions 25 to 910 of the family's 1533-position model. The record is from RNAcentral. Lineage: Bacteria; Bacillati; Bacillota; Bacilli; Caryophanales; Paenibacillaceae.
CAGGACGAACGCUGGCGGCGUGCCUAAUACAUGCAAGUCGAGCGGAUUUAUCCUUCGGGAUAAGUUAGCGGCGGACGGGUGAGUAACACGUAGGCAACCUGCCUAUAAGACUGGGAUAACUAUCGGAAACGAUAGCUAAGACCGGAUAACUGAUUUUCUCGCAUGAGAAAAUUAUGAAACACGGAGCAAUCUGUGGCUUAUAGAUGGGCCUGCGGCGCAUUAGCUAGUUGGUAGGGUAACGGCCUACCAAGGCGACGAUGCGUAGCCGACCUGAGAGGGUGAACGGCCUCACUGGGACUGAGACACGGCCCAGACUCCUACGGGAGGCAGCAGUAGGGAAUCUUCCGCAAUGGACGCAAGUCUGACGGAGCAACGCCGCGUGAGUGAUGAAGGUUUUCGGAUCGUAAAGCUCUGUUGCCCUAGACGAACAGCAAGAGGAGUAACUGCCUUUUGUGUGACGGUAUAGGAGAAGAAAGCCCCGGCUAACUACGUGCCAGCAGCCGCGGUAAUACGUAGGGGGCAAGCGUUGUCCGGAAUUAUUGGGCGUAAAGCGCGCGCAGGCGGUCAAUUAAGUUGGGUGUUUAAGCCCGGGGCUCAACCCCGGUUCGCAUCCAAAACUGGUCGACUUGAGUGUAGGAGAGGAAAGUGGAAUUCCACGUGUAGCGGUGAAAUGCGUAGAGAUGUGGAGGAACACCAGUGGCGAAGGCGACUUUCUGGCCUAUAACUGACGCUGAGGCGCGAAAGCGUGGGGAGCAAACAGGAUUAGAUACCCUGGUAGUCCACGCCGUAAACGAUGCAUACUANGUGUCGGGGAUUCGAUUCCUCGGUGCCGAAGUAACACAAGUAGUAUGCCGCCUGGGGAGUACGCUCGCCAGAGUGAAACUCCAAGGAUU